UUUCUAUGCAAACAUUAUGACCACAGCCUAAAUUCUUAGCACUUUCCAUUGUGAUUGUGUAUAAACAUCUCUCACGUCCUAAUCAGAACAUCUUGGAGGUCUACUUUACUAUUAUUUUUUUUAUUCCCAGUAACCAGCACAUAACAUAUACUUAAAUGGUUCUUGAAUAUAGGUGGAUAACAAUGAGAAGAAGCCAGAGAAAAGAUUUAUUGUAGUAAAGGUCCAGUCCUGGUGAUGGUUAAUGACAGGCAGUCUUCCUAUGUUGCUGCCUUACUGAGGACAUGAGAAGAUCUUGGCUCUAAGCUGAAAAGAACUGCAGUAAAAUGUGACUACUGCUAAGCCACCAAAAUGCUGUGCAGUAGGGCAAGUUGGUUCCACUUCCAUCUUGGACAAAACUUCAUAGACCUGAUGAUGGUUAGAUAUAAUAGCCUGCCCCUCAGGCCGACACUUCAAAAUAAGCAGCUGUCAUUCAACCGGCCUUUAGAUUUCUUAAAGAAGAAAUUGUUUCAUAUGUUGCUGUUGACUCGGUAUGUCUGUGAGAGGCGGGUUCAGGAUCUUCCUGUACCACCAUCUUGAACCAGAACCUGUCUUGGUUUUAAUUGACUAUUGAUGAUGCUACCAGUGUCUUCUAAUCUUUGAGCAACUGUUCUCAUUGAAUGACUAAGAGCUAAAAUGAGUGUCUUUUCUCUGGACACAUUUCUUUGCCUGCUACAAUGAAACACAAUUUAUUUAGCUUCAGUAAACAGCUUUCUUUGGCUAACAAAUGAGCCACUUGGAAACCUACUUUCCUUGCAACUUCAUUUACAUUUAUUUUUGUGAAGAAAUUCUGAUGAGAAAAUCCUCAAAUUUUCUGACUGUUGUUUUCCUGUGAGUUGGGGGCACUGUGAUGAGUGCUUAGUGUAAGGAGACAUACGUUGCAUUCUCUUAGCACAGAUACAGAAUUACAGUUGCCAUUUAAUUCAUUAACAAAAAUCUACCCUCCACUUUACCCUGGAAAUGUGGUAUUCAGGAUCUGCCUUUCUUCUUUUCACAAUGGAUGUA
Molecule: long non-coding RNA, 1041 nt
Organism: Suricata suricatta (meerkat)
Lineage: Eukaryota; Metazoa; Chordata; Mammalia; Carnivora; Herpestidae
Exons: 4
Source: RefSeq, a predicted model, not a curated record